This 76-nucleotide ribosomal RNA is filed under the name Ravenelia sp. ME-2015. Its description in RNAcentral is "partial 18S ribosomal RNA". The record is from RNAcentral. Lineage: Eukaryota; Fungi; Basidiomycota; Pucciniomycetes; Pucciniales; Raveneliaceae.
CUGCGGAAGGAUCAUUAUAGAAUUAAAAGGAGAGUGCACUUGAUUGUGGCUCCCAAUUUUUUCAAACCCAUCACCC